RNAcentral lists this long non-coding RNA (332 nucleotides) under Microcebus murinus (gray mouse lemur). Its description in RNAcentral is "lncRNA (ENSMICG00000048203.1)". The record is from RNAcentral. Lineage: Eukaryota; Metazoa; Chordata; Mammalia; Primates; Cheirogaleidae.
CAGCCAUUUCCAUUCCAUGCUUGUGAUGCAUACUUCGUAUUUUUUGUCAACUUUAAUAAGGUUUGAGUAGGAUAACCUCGCCAGCUGUGUUCAAUCUGAGAAUCCAUUUGGAUCAUGAUUUUCUACCCAGAAUGAGAGAAAUCAAGAAAACGGCACGUGGCUCACACUUCAGUUAUCUGCAUGAACACCAUGGAUUUAAUGGCAUGAACAUUUACAUUGAACCCUGCGUGCCAGGCAGGGCAUGGAUUACCUCUACUUGACAGAUAAAUAUUCAAAGGCCCAGACCAUGAAGUAGCCACAGUGGAGCCUCUGUCCCAAUUUCCAUCCUGGAU